RNAcentral lists this ribosomal RNA (459 nucleotides) under uncultured bacterium. RNAcentral describes it as "partial 16S ribosomal RNA". It matches the Rfam family "Bacterial small subunit ribosomal RNA", at positions 338 to 795 of the family's 1533-position model. The record is from RNAcentral.
CCUACGGGGGGCAGCAGUGAGGAAUAUUGGUCAAUGGGCGCGAGCCUGAACCAGCCCAGUCGCGUGAGGGAAGACGGUCCUAUGGAUUGUACACCUCUUUUGUCGGGGAGCAAAAGACGCCACGCGUGGCGUUCCGAGAGUACCCGAAGAAAAAGCAUCGGCUACCUCCGUGCCAGCAGCCGCGGUAAUACGGAGGAGGCGAGCGUCAUCCGGAUUUCUUGGGUUGAAAGGGUGCGCAGGCGGAAGAUCAAGUCAGCGGUAAAAGUGAGAGGCACAAGCUCUUCGAGCCGUUGAAACUGGUUUUCUUGAGUGAGUGAGAAGUAUGCGGAAUGCGUGGUGUAGCGGUGAAAUGCAGCGAGAUCACGCAGAACUCCGAUUGCGAAGGCAGCAUACCGGCGCUCAACUGACGCUCAUGCACGAAAGUGUGGGUAUCGAACAGGAUUAGAGACCCCUGUAGUC